Molecule: ribosomal RNA, 415 nt
Filed under: uncultured bacterium
Lineage: Bacteria
Description: bacterial SSU rRNA
Rfam family: Bacterial small subunit ribosomal RNA
Source: RNAcentral
UAAGGAAUAUUGGACAAUGGAGGCAACUCUGAUCCAGCCAUGCCGCGUGAAGGAAUAAGGCCCUAUGGGUUGUAAACUUCUUUUAGACGGGACAAAGACCCUUUACGUGUAAAGGGUUGAUGGUACUGUCAGAAUAAGCAUCGGCUAACUUCGUGCCAGCAGCCGCGGUAAUACGAAGGAUGCAAGCGUUAUCCGGAAUUAUCGGGUUUAAAGGGUGCGUAGGCGGACUAAUAAGUCAGUUGUGAAAGCCUGUCGCUUAACGAUAAAACUGCCAUUGGUACUGUCAGUCUUGUGUAUAUUUGAGGUAGCUGGAAUAAGUAGUGUAGCGGUGAAAUGCAUAGAUAUUACUUAGAACGCCAAUGGCGAAGGCAUGUUACCAAGAUAUAACUGACGCUGAGGGACGAAAGCGUGGGGA